Molecule: long non-coding RNA, 645 nt
Organism: Oreochromis niloticus (Nile tilapia)
Lineage: Eukaryota; Metazoa; Chordata; Actinopteri; Cichliformes; Cichlidae
Exons: 7
Source: RefSeq, a predicted model, not a curated record
GUGGCAGCUCCACGCUUCCAUAAUUUGGUAAUCAAAAUAUGUAACUUAAUUGAUUAUAUUGUGACGUACUUUUGCCUUUUCUUAUUAUUCUGCCUUCUCAGAAAGGGAAAAAAAUACAAAUAAAACUGUUUUACACUUGUUAUAUACAAUAACUAUCAAAACCUAUUCACAUUUAAUUUGGCUUUCACAGAAAUACCACCUGUCCUUCUGGCUACAGAGUACUUACCAAGCCCAUGAAAUCGAAUGCAGAUCUUCCUGAUGUGAGAUUUACAUAAAUAUGUCAAAGUCUCAACCUCAUGCUGCCCUCCCCCAUCCUCCUAAACCUGUGGAUACAAAUGCAGAUUUCCUUAAUGUUCAAUGGUGCGUGUUCUUCUAAUGGCUGCCUUCCCACUGGAGGUUUUGAUCCACAGCAAUUUAAAAGGAGGACAGAGCAAAACGGACAUCGGCGCAGAGCGAAGAACUGCCCUUCAUAAGGACACUAUGACAGCCAUAUAUAUGGCGGUAAGGAAGAGGUUUCCCAAUGUGUCCAGAAGGGCUUUGAGGAUUGCAGUGAAAGCUGGGGGAACUGAGACUGCUGGAAAAGGAAAAGAAAUUACAUUUUAAGUAUGUUGACUUAUGUUCAUACAAUCACACACACAUAUACAC